This 193-nucleotide unclassified non-coding RNA is filed under the name uncultured Saccharomycetales. RNAcentral's name for it is "sequence contains ITS2". Lineage: Eukaryota; Fungi; Ascomycota; Saccharomycetes. The record is from RNAcentral.
CUCUCUCAAAACUCUAAGUUUUGGUGUUGAGUGAUACUCAAGGCAAGCUUGAGUUUGCUUGAAAAGUAUUGGCAAGGGAAGCGAUUCUUCGCACCGGCUAUUUAUUCAAUGUAUUAGGUUUAUCCAACUCGUUGAUUGAUGGCAGGAUGAAAGGAGUCUGCUAAGGCCCGGCCUUACAACUAAACAAACCAAA